Molecule: ribosomal RNA, 406 nt
Filed under: uncultured bacterium
Lineage: Bacteria
Description: partial 16S ribosomal RNA
Rfam family: Bacterial small subunit ribosomal RNA
Source: RNAcentral
AUUGAACGCUGGCGGCAGGCUUAACACAUGCAAGUCGAGCGAGCGGCGGACGCGUGAGUAAUGUCCGGGAAACUGCCUGAAGGAGGGGGAUAACUACUGGAAACGGUAGCUAAUACCCCACACCAUCCGAUGUGCCCAGAGGGGAUUAGCUAGUAGGUGGGGUAAUGGCUCACCUAGGCGACGAUCCCUAGCUGGGCUGAGAGGAUGACCAGCCACACUGGAACUGAGACACGGUCCAGACGCCUACGGGAGGCAGCAGUGGGGAAUAUUGCACAAUGGGGGAAAGCCUGAUGCAGCCAUGCCGCGUGUGUGAAGAAGGCCUUCGGGUUGUAAAGCACUUUCAGCGAGGAGGCGUUACUCGCAGAAGAAGCACCGGCUAACUCCGUGCCAGCAGCCGCGGUAAUUC